GCCGAUUCUCGGCGAUCUGCUAAACAAUUCGCGCGCAGGUCCGGGUGGAACCGGGCCCAUUCUCUCUAGAGAGGAUGUCCCGGGCGC
Molecule: small RNA, 87 nt
Filed under: uncultured Synechococcus sp.
Lineage: Bacteria; Bacillati; Cyanobacteriota; Cyanophyceae; Synechococcales; Synechococcaceae
Description: ATPC RNA motif
Rfam family: ATPC RNA motif
Source: RNAcentral